This 991-nucleotide long non-coding RNA is filed under the name Marmota monax (woodchuck). The record is from RNAcentral. Lineage: Eukaryota; Metazoa; Chordata; Mammalia; Rodentia; Sciuridae.
UCCUUUCUCCAUUUUAAUUACCACCCCUCUCUCACCAGCAGAGUUUGCCUAUUAAAGGCCAAUCUCUCUUGAUUUCUUUGCUUUAAAAGGACAUUUCGAUUCACCCAGGCAGACAAUUAAAUCCCCCUCGAGCCUCUCCCUUCCCAGAGCUCCAGAACAAGAUGAGUCCCUAUCUCCUCACAGCAUCGAGCUGAGAGAAGAAGUUGAUCUCAGGUGCUCACCUGCAGUUAUCAGAAUGCCAGACUCAUUUAGGGAGCUCAACUCUGGACCCUGAGGCGAUCCCUUCAUUGAUUGUGGAAAGCGCUGUUUAGAUUUUGCCCCUGCUCAGUAAACAACUAAAAGUAACUGCGCGAUUUCUGCCUUGCAUUCAUCGAACACUCUCUCUCUCUCUCUCCCUCUCUCUCUCUCUCUCUCUUACACACACACACACACACACACACACACAGCUCCUAUUAAUCAUGAAGGAACAGUCAGAUCACAAUGCCUUUAUAAUAUGCUUAGCUAAUCCCCCCACCCCCCAGCAGCUGGGUCUUCUGGGGGAUGCUAUGCCUUCCUCCGAAGAUUCACAGAUCCCCAGAAGGACACACCCUCCCAAAUCCCUAAGACUGUAGGGACCUGAGAAAACGGUGCCUCUUUGGAUCCCCUACUCUGCAACCUCUGAAAGUCCACACCUGCCUAAAAUACUUACCAGGGACUUCCUAGGGCCACUCCUCUCUCUCACCUCCCUUCCCCCACACGAAGUCCUCUAGAGUUCUCAGUUGGUCUUUGAUAAGCCUGUUGCAGCUCAGACUCAGAGAAACAAAGUUGGGGGUGGGGGCACAUUAACUGUCUACAGAGUUGGAGGCAGUUUCUGGAUAAAGCAACCAUGGUACUCCAGGGAGUGAAUUAAAAUGGCAAACUCACUCUCUGAUCAUCAAACUUAAGAUCCUUAAGGAGAUCGCAUUUACUCCUCAGUUACUAACAGAAAAAAAAGAAAAGAUGUUCACUACUG